AAAUUGAAGAGUUUGAUCAUGGCUCAGAUUGAACGCUGGCGGCAGGCCUAACACAUGCAAGUCGAGCGGAAACGAGUUAUCUGAACCUUCGGGGAACGAUAACGGCGUCGAGCGGCGGACGGGUGAGUAAUGCCUAGGAAAUUGCCCUGAUGUGGGGGAUAACCAUUGGAAACGAUGGCUAAUACCGCAUGAUGCCUACGGGCCAAAGAGGGGGACCUUCGGGCCUCUCGCGUCAGGAUAUGCCUAGGUGGGAUUAGCUAGUUGGUGAGGUAAGGGCUCACCAAGGCGACGAUCCCUAGCUGGUCUGAGAGGAUGAUCAGCCACACUGGAACUGAGACACGGUCCAGACUCCUACGGGAGGCAGCAGUGGGGAAUAUUGCACAAUGGGCGCAAGCCUGAUGCAGCCAUGCCGCGUGUGUGAAGAAGGCCUUCGGGUUGUAAAGCACUUUCAGUCGUGAGGAAGGCGGCGUCGUUAAUAGCGGCGUUGUUUGACGUUAGCGACAGAAGAAGCACCGGCUAACUCCGUGCCAGCAGCCGCGGUAAUACGGAGGGUGCGAGCGUUAAUCGGAAUUACUGGGCGUAAAGCGCAUGCAGGUGGUUUGUUAAGUCAGAUGUGAAAGCCCGGGGCUCAACCUCGGAAUUGCAUUUGAAACUGGCAGACUAGAGUACUGUAGAGGGGGGUAGAAUUUCAGGUGUAGCGGUGAAAUGCGUAGAGAUCUGAAGGAAUACCGGUGGCGAAGGCGGCCCCCUGGACAGAUACUGACACUC
RNAcentral lists this ribosomal RNA (768 nucleotides) under Vibrio parahaemolyticus. RNAcentral describes it as "bacterial SSU rRNA". It matches the Rfam family "Bacterial small subunit ribosomal RNA", at positions 1 to 748 of the family's 1533-position model. Lineage: Bacteria; Pseudomonadati; Pseudomonadota; Gammaproteobacteria; Vibrionales; Vibrionaceae. The record is from RNAcentral.